This 23-nucleotide non-coding RNA is filed under the name Cricetulus griseus (Chinese hamster). Lineage: Eukaryota; Metazoa; Chordata; Mammalia; Rodentia; Cricetidae. The record is from RNAcentral.
UCGUGUCAGUCUGAAACGCCAGG